CAGGGAGCAACGCUGUUCAUGCAAAGCUGGAAACCGAUUAUGAUGAUGUCAUCCCCAAGCUCACCUGCUGUGGAUUGUAGGAAACUAAAGGGAUGAAGGCCUCUGGCUCUGUCGCCAUGGCACAUUCAUCAAUGAGUAUCUGCCGGAAAUCCAUGACCUCCCGGAUCUCGGGUUUCAGUGCUGAAGCACAGAUCUUACCUGAGCUUCUCGUUCGGUUUUUCAUCACGGAGGGAUCUGCGGCAAAGCUUCAGGUCACUGCCCAGAUAUUUAUAUUCACG
Pimephales promelas (fathead minnow) is the source of this 278-nucleotide non-coding RNA. The record is from RefSeq and is a predicted model, not a curated record. Lineage: Eukaryota; Metazoa; Chordata; Actinopteri; Cypriniformes; Leuciscidae.